ACUCCUACGGGAGGCAGCAGUGGGGAAUAUUGGACAAUGGGCGGAAGCCUGAUCCAGCCAUGCCGCGUGUGUGAAGAAGGCCUUUUGGUUGUAAAGCACUUUAAGCGAGGAGGAGGCUACCUAGAUUAAUACUCUGGGAUAGUGGACGUUACUCGCAGAAUAAGCACCGGCUAACUCUGUGCCAGCAGCCGCGGUAAUACAGAGGGUGCGAGCGUUAAUCGGAUUUACUGGGCGUAAAGCGUGCGUAGGCGGCUGAUUAAGUCGGAUGUGAAAUCCCUGAGCUUAACUUAGGAAUUGCAUUCGAUACUGGUCAGCUAGAGUAUGGGAGAGGAUGGUAGAAUUCCAGGUGUAGCGGUGAAAUGCGUAGAGAUCUGGAGGAAUACCGAUGGCGAAGGCAGCCAUCUGGCCUAAUACUGACGCUGAGGUACGAAAGCAUGGGGAGCAAACAGGAUUAGAUACCCUGGUAGACAUCA
RNAcentral lists this ribosomal RNA (473 nucleotides) under uncultured bacterium. RNAcentral's name for it is "bacterial SSU rRNA". It matches the Rfam family "Bacterial small subunit ribosomal RNA", at positions 335 to 799 of the family's 1533-position model. The record is from RNAcentral.